Molecule: long non-coding RNA, 1975 nt
Organism: Cavia porcellus (domestic guinea pig)
Lineage: Eukaryota; Metazoa; Chordata; Mammalia; Rodentia; Caviidae
Exons: 2
Source: RefSeq, a predicted model, not a curated record
GGGAGGGGCCUAGGCCUUUAUGGCAGCUCCGGCCUGUCCUCCCUCUGGGAAGUGCGUAGUCUGUAGCACACUGCAGCCUGGGCGGUGUGUUCCGUGGUCGGGAUACCCGUCUUCCCUGUUCCCCACUUUGCUUUAUUCUGUAAGUUAAGGGUAAGGGAAGCCGGGUAGAAUGGCGCUCACUGCAGGGCGCCGGGGUACUGGGGCUUCUGGGUGGACGGUGACCUCGAACUGGAUACAGGCAGCCCGCAGGGACCCCAAGUGAACAUGUUGCUGAGAGAGCCAAGCCCUGUCGUAGUGAGAAAUAAAACUCAGGCAUGUGAAAUGAUUCUAAUUUAUUAGAGGUGCAUAUUCAAACACAGAAGUUCUUAAUAUCUUUCAUAAAUAUCUUUCAUAAACAUUUCAAUAUUUGUUAUGCAUUUUCCCAUGCUCUUUGGUCAGUAUUCCUAAGAUUUCUUAGUCCUUUGAGGGAAGUUGGCUGUGUAGUCAAUCCUUCAUUUUUACCUGUAAAGUAACUAACAAAGUACUCGUAUCCUGUGGUCACAGUGACUGUUAAAAAAAUAUCAUGGAGGUACACAGAUCUGUAAUCCUAAAUGAUCCUAAAAUAAUGUAAUAAAUUUAUCUUAAGCUUUUCCAAAUACAUUCUGUCCUCAAAUUGUUUUAUUCUCCUGAGUGUCAAAUCAACGUUUGCUUCUGCAAUGCUGCAGUUGAGACCCACUGAAGUAAAUGAGGAAGUGGGACAUUCCACUUCACUGCUAAGACAGGAGGCUGUGCAGUUGGGAAUAUGAGGUCACAGGGCAAAAGUAUGACUCAGUAUUAUAUAGCAGCAAAUUCUGAAGACUGUGCUCUUUUAAAAUAUCUGAAUAUCUUGAUUCUUGUUUUGGACUGUAAUUCUAUUCCAUUUUUAACUCUUUUUCCCCCCAUAAGUCUCUAAAAACACUGUUCUUUCCUCAGAACCUCUCAAGAGCUGGGAACUGGCGUGGGCAAAGUGCUUUGCCCGCCAAAGGAACAGACGCUAAAGAGGAGAUGUCCUCCUGUCUCAGUGCUUGUAAGACACACAGCUACACAUGAGACUCAUCCAGGGCCACGUCCACCUCCCCCAGCUCGGUGGGAGUGAUCGUGAACUGGCACAACAGGGGGUUCUCCAUGCCGUUCUCCUCACUGAUGUGAAGCACAGUGUCUCCGUGCUGUAGGAGGCUGGACGUCUCGAGGCCGGUGAAGUCAUCAGGGUCUGAGAGCUGCAUGGAGAGGGGACUGUGCGCUGCAGCACCUUGUGCUUCUGCCUCCUCCUUUUUGUCUCCUUCGGCGGGGAGGGGCUCUCCCUGUGAUCAGGAGGGUCACAGUGUCAUGCACACAUGGGGAAGCUAGUACACUAUCAACAAACUGCGUAGCUUUAACUGGAUGUGGAAUCAGGCUAGUCUGAGUUCUAGCCUUUAUUAGAGGUAAAAUCUUACCAGGCAUUGCCAGCUUUCUAGGCUUCAGUGCUCCUUUCUGAGUGAGUCACAUACUAUGCUGAGGACUCCUGUCGUGCCAGGCAAGGGCUCCACCACUAAGCCACAUCUCCCCCGUAUUUUUUUUUUUUUUUUUAACAUUUUAUUUUGAGAUGGUCUCACUGAGUUGCCCAGGUCAGCCUUGAACUUGUGAUCCUCCUGUUUCUGCUUCUCAGAUAACUUGGAUUAUAGCUGUGUGCUACCAUAGCCAGCUUAAUCGUCAGGGUUUUUUUUUUUUUUUUUUUUUUUAACAUUUAGCAUAGUUUUGGUCCUGCUUACCUUACAGAAUAUAAAGAUCAAAUGGAAUAAUUAUAAAUAUUAAAAUGCUUUUAGAAAUUAAAGGCUGGGGCUGGGGGUUUAGCUCAGCGGCAUAAGCGCCUGCCUUGAAAGCAGGCAGUUGUGAGUUCGAUCCCCUGUACCGAUAAAAAGGAAAAAGACAAAAAAAAAAAAAAAAAAAAAGAAAUUAAAGGCUAUACAAAUGUACAUAA